UCGAGGGGUAUAAGUAGCAAUACUUAGAGACCGGCGCACGGGUGAGUAACGCGUAUGCAACCUGCCCUUUACUGGAGGAUAGCCCGUAGAAAUGCGGAUUAAUACCCCAUAGUAAUGUUGGAUCGCAUGAUCUGGCAUUUAAAGUUUCGGCGGUAAAGGAUGGGCAUGCGUGACAUUAGCUAGUUGGAGAGGUAACGGCUCACCAAGGCUUCGAUGUCUAGGGGUUCUGAGAGGAAGAUCCCCCACACUGGUACUGAGACACGGACCAGACUCCUACGGGAGGCAGCAGUGAGGAAUAUUGGUCAAUGGGCGAGAGCCUGAACCAGCCAUCCCGCGUGCAGGAAGAAUGCCCUAUGGGUUGUAAACUGCUUUUUCGCAUGAAGAACACCCCUGACGUGUCAGGGGCUGACGGUAAUGCGUGAAUAAGCACCGGCUAACUCCGUGCCAGCAGCCGCGGUAAUACGGAGGGUGCAAGCGUUAUCCGGAUUUAUUGGGUUUAAAGGGUGCGUAGGCGGCUAUUUAAGUCAGUGGUGAAAUCCUGCAGCUUAACUGUAGAACAGCCAUUGAAACUGAAUAGCUUGAGUGAUCUUGAGGUAGGCGGAAUGUGUAGUGUAGCGGUGAAAUGCUUAGAUAUUACACAGAACACCGAUUGCGAAGGCAGCUUACUAAGGAUUUACUGACGCUGAUGCACGAAAGCGUGGGGAUCAAACAGGAUUAGAUACCCUGGUAGUCCACGCCGUANACGAUGAUAACUCGCUGUUGGCNAUAC
Molecule: ribosomal RNA, 769 nt
Filed under: uncultured bacterium
Lineage: Bacteria
Description: bacterial SSU rRNA
Rfam family: Bacterial small subunit ribosomal RNA
Source: RNAcentral